GACAGAGGAUGCAAGCGUUAUCCGGAAUGAUUGGGCGUAAAGCGUCUGUAGGUGGCUUUUUAAGUCUGCCGUCAAAUCCCAGGGCUUAACCCUGGACAGGCGGUGGAAACUACCAAGCUGGAGUACGGUAGGGGCAGGGGGAAUUUCCGGUGGAGCGGUGAAAUGCGUAGAGAUCGGAAAGAACGCCAACGGCGAAAGCACUCUGCUGGGCCGACACUGACACUGAGAGACGAAAGCUAGGGGAGCGAAUGGG
Molecule: ribosomal RNA, 253 nt
Filed under: uncultured bacterium
Lineage: Bacteria
Description: partial 16S ribosomal RNA
Rfam family: Bacterial small subunit ribosomal RNA
Source: RNAcentral